ACCCGCUGAACUUAAGCAUAUCAAUAAGCGGAGGAAAAGAAACCAACAGGGAUUGCCCUAGUAACGGCGAGUGAAGCGGCAACAGCUCAAAUUUGAAAUCUGGCCCUCGGGUCCGAGUUGUAAUUUGUAGAGGAUGCUUUUGGUGAAGUGCCUUCCGAGUUCCUUGGAACAGGACGCCUUAGAGGGUGAGAGCCCCGUACGGUUGGACACUAAGCCUCUGUAAAGCUCCUUCGACCGAGUCGAGUAGUUUGGGAAUGCUGCUCUAAAUGGGAGGUAAAUUUCUUCUAAAGCUAAAUACCGGCCAGAGACCGAUAGCGCACAAGUAGAGUGAUCGAAAGAUGAAAAGUACUUUGAAAAGAGGGUUAAAUAGCACGUGAAAUUGUUGAAAGGGAAGCGUUUAUGACCAGACCUUUGUCUAGCGGAUCAUCCGGUGUUCUUCACCGGUGCACUUCGCUAGGCUUAGGCCAGCAUCGAUUUCUGUAGGGGGAUAAAGACCAUGGGAACGUAGCUCUCUCCGGGGAGUGUUAUAGCCCUAGGUGUAAUACCUUUACGGGGAUCGAGGUUCGCGCUUCUGCAAGGAUGCUGGCGUAAUGGUCAUCAACGACCCGUCUUGAAACACGGACC
RNAcentral lists this ribosomal RNA (624 nucleotides) under Trichromostroma enteroxanthum. Its description in RNAcentral is "eukaryotic LSU rRNA". It matches the Rfam family "Eukaryotic large subunit ribosomal RNA", at positions 23 to 667 of the family's 3401-position model. Lineage: Eukaryota; Fungi; Ascomycota; Sordariomycetes; Xylariales; Diatrypaceae. The record is from RNAcentral.